UGACCAGAGGGAAAAGGAGCAAUCCGCUUUGAGAUGGCCUCGCGUCCGAUUAGCUAGUUGGUGAGGUAACGGCCCACCAAGGCAACGAUCGGUAGCCGGACUGAGAGGUUGAACGGCCACAUUGGGACUGAGACACGGCCCAGACUCCUACGGGAGGCAGCAGUGGGGAAUAUUGCACAAUGGGGGAAACCCUGAUGCAGCGACGCCGCGUGGAGGAAGAAGGUCUUCGGAUUGUAAACUCCUGUUGUUGAGGAAGAUAAUGACGGUACUCAACAAGGAAGUGACGGCUAACUACGUGCCAGCAGCCGCGGUAAAACGUAGGUCACAAGCGUUGUCCGGAAUUACUGGGUGUAAAGGGAGCGCAGGCGGGAAGACAAGUUGGAAGUGAAAUCUAUGGGCUCAACCCAUAAACUGCUUUCAAAACUGUUUUUCUUGAGUAGUGCAGAGGUAGGCGGAAUUCCCGGUGUAGCGGUGGAAUGCGUAGAUAUCGGGAGGAACACCAGUGGCGAAGGCGGCCUACUGGGCACCAACUGACGCUGAGGCUCGAAAGUGUGGGUAGCAAACAGGAUUAGAUACCCUGGUAGUCCACACCGUAAACGAUGAUUACUAGGUGUUGGAGGAUUGACCCCUUCAGUGCCGCAGUUAACACAAUAAGUAAUCCACCUGGGGAGUACGACCGCAAGGUUGAAACUCAAAGGAAUUGACGGGGGCCCGCACAAGCAGUGGAGUAUGUGGUUUAAUUCGACGCAACGCGAAGAACCUUACCAAGUCUUGACAUCCUGCGACGCACAUAGAAAUAUGUGUUUCCUUCGGGACGCAGAGACAGGUGGUGCAUGGUUGUCGUCAGCUCGUGUCGUGAGAUGUUGGGUUAAGUCCCGCAACGAGCGCAACCCUUACUGUCAGUUACUACGCAAGAGGACUCUGGCAGGACUGCCGUUGACAAAACGGAGGAAGGUGGGGAUGACGUCAAAUCAUCAUGCCCUUUAUGACUUGGGCUACACACGUACUACAAUGGCGUUAAACAAAGAGAAGCAAGACCGCGAGGUGGAGCAAAACUCAGAAACAACGUCCCAGUUCGGACUGCAGGCUGCAACUCGCCUGCACGAAGUCGGAAUUGCUAGUAAUCGUGGAUCAGCAUGCCACGGUGAAUACGUUCCCGGGCCUUGUACACACCGCCCGUCACACCAUGAGAGCCGGGGGGACCCGAAGUCGGUAGUCUAACCGCAAGGAGGACGCCGCCGAAGGUAAAACUGGUGAUUGGGGUGAAGUCGUAACAAGGUA
Molecule: ribosomal RNA, 1281 nt
Filed under: metagenome
Description: bacterial SSU rRNA
Rfam family: Bacterial small subunit ribosomal RNA
Source: RNAcentral